UACGGGGGGGGCAAGCGUUGUUCGGAUUUAUUGGGCGUAAAGAGCGUGUAGGCGGCCAGGUAGGUCUGGUGUGAAAACUCGAGGCUUAACCUCGAGAUGUCAUCGGAAACCAUCUGGCUAGAGUCCGGAAGAGGAGAGUGGAAUUCCUGGUGUAGCGGUGAAAUGCGCAGAUAUCAGGAAGAACACCAAUGGCGAAAGCAGCUCUCUGGGACGGUACUGACGCUGAGACGCGAAAGCGUGGGGAGCGAACAGG
This 253-nucleotide ribosomal RNA is filed under the name uncultured bacterium. RNAcentral describes it as "partial 16S ribosomal RNA". It matches the Rfam family "Bacterial small subunit ribosomal RNA", at positions 524 to 776 of the family's 1533-position model. The record is from RNAcentral.